Molecule: ribosomal RNA, 705 nt
Filed under: Symphytocarpus splendens
Lineage: Eukaryota; Evosea; Eumycetozoa; Stemonitida; Stemonitidae
Description: SSU rRNA
Rfam family: Eukaryotic small subunit ribosomal RNA
Source: RNAcentral
GUGCAUGAGUGCACUGCGGCUUAUUUGACUCAACACGGGACAACUCACCGGGUCAGGAUACGCUAUAUGAAGGACAAGCGGAAAGACUUUUCCCAAUUACGUAAGUGGUGGUGCAUGGCCGUUCUUAGUUCGUGGAUUGAUUUGUCUGGUCUAUUCCGUUAACGAGCGAGAUCUUCGCGUCUAAUUAGAGUCACCAUUGCCAGGGCUUGUGGACUGCCUGCUCUUGGUGCGCUGAUCAGCUGGGCUGUCGUUCUUCGGGGCGGCGGUCUGUUUGCGGGCGUAUCGGGAGUGGGAACAACGGUCUGCUCGAACCCAGCAGUGGCCUUAAUAAACAGCUUAACACGCGUCUUCUUAGAUGUAUCGGGGCCGAAAAGGUCUCUGAAAGAAGGUAAUAACAGGUCAGUGAUGCCCUUAGAUGUUCCGGGCCGCACGCGGGUUACAAUGGCAUGUAAAAUAAGUAUACCCCCUAUACCAAAAGUGUCCAGCCAGCGCAGUGUCUCUCCGGGCAUUCGUUGCUGGUUGGCACCGGGGGGAAGUCCCGCUUCCUAACGGAUUUGCGAUAAUCAUUAAACCCUGCCUUGUCUGGGAUAGUCUUUUGUAACUAUUGGUCUUGAACGUGGAAUUUUUAGUAGGCGUAGCUCAUUAAGCUACGCCGAAUCUGUCCCUGCCUUUUGUACACACCGCCCGUCGCUGCUUACCGAAAUA